RNAcentral lists this ribosomal RNA (253 nucleotides) under uncultured bacterium. RNAcentral describes it as "partial 16S ribosomal RNA". It matches the Rfam family "Bacterial small subunit ribosomal RNA", at positions 524 to 776 of the family's 1533-position model. The record is from RNAcentral.
UACGGAGGGUGCGAGCGUUGUCCGGAAUCAUUGGGCGUAAAGGGCGCGUAGGUGGCCCGGUCAGCGUGCGGUGAGAGCUCGGGGCUCAACCCCGAGUCGGCCGUGCGAACUGCUGGGCUUGAGCACUGUAGAGGCAGGCGGAAUUCCGGGUGUAGCGGUGGAAUGCGUAGAGAUCCGGAAGAACACCGGUGGCGAAGGCGGCCUGCUGGGCAGUGGCUGACACUGAGGCGCGACAGCGUGGGGAGCAAACAGG